GACGAACGUUGGCGGCGCGCCUAACACAUGCAAGUCGUACGGCCCUUCGGGGCAGUGGCGGACGGCUGAGUAAUACUGGAGAACUUACCCUUAAGUGAGGCAUAGCCUACCGAAAGGUAGGGUAAUUCCUCAUAGCCUCAGUGCUUUAUUGUUAUUGAGUAAAGAAGCAAUUCGCUUGAGGAAAGGCUCCUGGCCUAUCAGCUAGUUGGUGAGGUAAAGGCUCACCAAGGCGACGAUCAGUAGCUGGUCUGAGAGGAUGACCAGCCACAUUGGGACUGAGACACGGCCCAAACUCCUACGGGAGGCAGCAGUGGGGAAUCUUGCGCAAUGGGCGAAAGCCUGACGCAGCCAUGCCGCGUGAAUGAUGAAGGUCUUAGGAUUGUAAAAUUCUUUCACCGGGGACGAUAAUGACGGUACCCGGAGAAGAAGCCCCGGCUAACUUCGUGCCAGCCGCCGCAGUAA
This 462-nucleotide ribosomal RNA is filed under the name uncultured bacterium. RNAcentral's name for it is "partial 16S ribosomal RNA". It matches the Rfam family "Bacterial small subunit ribosomal RNA", at positions 28 to 523 of the family's 1533-position model. The record is from RNAcentral.